AGAAUCAGGGUUCGAUUCCGGAGAAGGAGCUUGAGAAUUGGCUACUACAUCUAAGGAAGGCAGCAGGCGCGCAAAUUACCCAAUCCCGAUUCGGGGGGGUAGUGACAAAAAAUAACAGUACCGGGCCUUUUUGGGCUUGGUAAUUGGAAUGAGGGAGAGUUAAACGGACCAUCGAGUAUCCAUUGGAGGGCAAGUCUGACGCCAGCAGCUGCGGUAAUACCAGCUCCAAUAGCGUAUAUUAAAGUCGUUGCAGUUAAAAAGCUCUUAGUUGGACUUGUGUGCGCUGUCUGCGGGUGGCCUGCGCCCAAAAGGGCGUUUCGGUUCGGCCCCGGUGGCGCCUUGAAAUCUGCAGCUGGGGGGACGUUGGCCUUAACUGGUCGGCGACCGCACGCCGGCUGCUCGGUUACUGUGAGAAAAUUAGAGUGUUCAAGGCAGGCAUUGGGUGCAAUUGAAUACAUUAGCAUGGAAUAAUAAAAUAUGGCUCAUGCCGUAUUUUGUUGGUUUUGACUGGUGGGAGUAAUGAUUGAUAGGGACGGUUGGGGGUGCUAGUAUUGAGCGGCCAGAGGUGAAAUUCAUGGAUUCGCUCAAGACUAACUUAUGCGAAGGCAUUCACCAAGGACGUCCUCUUUAAUCAAGAACGAAAGUUGGGGGAUCGAAGACGAUCAGAUACCGUCGUAGUCUCAACCAUAAACUAUGUCGACUUGGGAUCGGCGGUAGUUUUUUCAUUAAGACACUGUUGGGACCACGGGAGAAAUCAAAGUGUCUGGACUCUGGGGGAAGUAUGGUCGCAAGGCUGAAACUUGAAGGAAUUGACGGAAGGGCACCACCAGGAGUGGAGCCUGCGGCUUAAUUUGACCCAACACGGGGAAACUUACCAGGUCCAGAGAUGUAGAGGAUUGACAGAUUGAAGCUCUUUCUUGAUCACUUCGGUGGUGGUGCAUGGCCGUUCUUAGUUGGUGGAGUGAUUUGUCUGGUUAAUUCCGUUAACGAACGAGACCUCAGCCUGCUAGUGUAGUCGGCUGGAUUGCCUUUGGCGAUCCGUGAUUUCGACUUCUUAGAGGGACAAUCGACGCGCAGUCGAUGGAAGUUUGAGGCAAUAACAGGUCUGUGAUGCCCUUAGACGUUCUGGGCCGCACGCGCGCUGCACUGCUGGGCUCAGCGAGUUUUACUUGGCCGAGAGGCCCGGUUAAUCUUGUGAAAUCCCAGCGUGCUUGGGCUCGCCUCCUGCAACUGGAGGCGCCAACGAGGAAUUCCUAGUAGACGCAGGUCAUCAACCUGCAUCGAUUACGUCCCUGCCCUUUGUACACACCGCCCGUCGUUCCGUAAGAGUGAGGCAUCCGGUGAAUUCUCGGGAGAGCCUGGGCGUGGCCAGCAAUGGUCUGCUCGGGUUUGAACUUGCAUAAACUUGGUGCCUAUGAUUAGGGAAAAGUCGUAACAAGGUU
Molecule: ribosomal RNA, 1442 nt
Filed under: metagenome
Description: SSU rRNA
Rfam family: Eukaryotic small subunit ribosomal RNA
Source: RNAcentral